Molecule: long non-coding RNA, 2268 nt
Organism: Lampris incognitus (smalleye Pacific opah)
Lineage: Eukaryota; Metazoa; Chordata; Actinopteri; Lampriformes; Lampridae
Exons: 3
Source: RefSeq, a predicted model, not a curated record
UUUGCAAGACAAAGUUGUGUUUGUGUUUCUCAGCACCUGCUGCUUCAUGUAAAACAGUGUGUGGGACGUUGGUAAAUGAACCCCUGAGCGUUAACAGGUCCUGCAGAACCUGGAACUUCAUACACUAGUUUUGUCCUGUCAUGGAGGACACCUGGAAAAUGAUCAAAUCAGUCAAAGGUCCUGGAAAUAUUACUGAGGUCAUGGAAACCUGUUAGAGUUGGUCUAGUCUGGGAGAGGUCCUGGGAAAUGAUCUAAAAACAGCAGGAACCCUGAUGAACAUCUGGAGAUGAAAACAAACCGAACCAAAAGAAUGGAGAAAAGUCAGGAUGCAGACCUCCAGUCAGGGCCAUGGCCUUUCACACGGAGGAGCAGAGGAAGAGGAGAUUAUCUAUCAAAACCAAGUCCAAACGAACAACAGCCGAAACCACAACCCGAGGGGUCAGUACAUUGAGAGACAAUGUUCACUCUACGAUCACAUCUGAGAUGGGAAUAACAGUUCUGCUGAGUCAAUGCCAAACAAACAACCAAGGACACAGGACCCUGACAGAGAAGUUGCAUUCCAUGACUGAUAAAAACUGAAUGCCACGUAAGAGGAUGCCAUAUCAAUAAACUGUAGUCAUUUAGUACUGAAAAGAGGUGAAACGCAGAUAAAAGGAACCCCCACUGCUGUAAAAUUCAUCUUUUUUUUUCCUGAGGCUUGAAAAAGUACCUUAUUUAUCAGUUAGGAGAUCACAAUUAGUAAAAACAAACCCAGGUAAAGUCCUAUUCAAAUUGAAUGCAAACACUUGCAAGGUAAGUAACAUAUGAAGUAUGUCUCUCGAACAAAGAGGAUGAUUGUACGAUUGGUUUAUUAUGUAAUUUUAUAUUUAUAACCAUCAUGUGAUCUCAUGGGCUCUGUAAAAUAAGGACAGAGUUAUUUGACUAGUAAUGCAACGAUGUGCCACAAGAAAUUUGUGCCCAAGUACUUCCUGUUUGAACUGUCAAAAAUAUUUCGGGUGGGGGGCUGAGGAGUUAAAUCUGAACCCCCCCCCCCAGGGCUACAUCAGGCUGUGACCCCCAAACUGGGAGAGUGGCUCCAGCAGAUUCAAGGAACAACAUCUGAGGUCUCUGUCCAGAAGAGUGCAGUCCUAAGUGUAAUGAUGUUUAUGUUAACAAUACAUAUGGGUGAGCUGUUGGUGUCAGUGUAAUGUGUGCAAACCGGAACUGGGGGGAGGAAUAAAACACCUAGCUGAGCCAGCAAGAAGUUCCAAACACUGUCUCUAUGUCAGUAUAAAAAAUAAGAACAUUACAUAAGAACAGCUACGAUACCGCACAGAACCCUCAAACUCCCACAGGACCCGAGCUUGAGGAAGACACACACUACCCGAAAUACUACAGUGAGAGAGGGAAAUAUAUAAGACAAAGGAGCUGGUUGUUGACCUGAGGGGGGACAUGACACCAGUAACCCCUGUCUCCAUCCAGGGGGUCAGUGUGGACACUGUGGAAUACUAGAAGUACCUGGGGGUGUAUACAGAGAAUAAACUGGACUGGGCUAAGAACACUGAUGCCCUCUACAAGAAGGGACAGAGCCGUCUCUACUUUUUGAGGAGACAGGUCCUUCAACAUCUGCCAGACAAUGCUCAGGAUGUGGUAUGAGUCCAUGGUGGCCAGUGCUCUCCUGUUUGCUGUUGUGUGUUGGGGCAGCAGGUUGAGGGUAGCGGAUGCAAACAGCCUCAAUAAACUGAUCCGCAAGGCCGGUGAUGUUGUGGGGGUGGAACUGGAUUCUCUGGCGGCGGUUUCUGAUGGAACUGGAUUCUCUGGCGGCAGUUUCUGAGAAGAGGACGCUGUUGAAAUUAUGUGCCAUCAUGGACAAUGUCUCCCACCCACUCCAUGACGUGCUGGUUGGGCACAGGAGUACUUUUAGUAAUAGACUCAUUCUGCCCAAAAGCACCACAGAGCACCACCGGAGGUCAUUCCUGCCUGUGGCCAUCAAACUUUACAACUCCUCCCUCAGACUCAGACUGUCAGGCACUCGAAGUUAAUGGUCAUUGGAUUGGCCCUGUCGAGUUUUGUUUGUGCUGCUUGUUUGUGCUGCAGUAGUGCAGUAUAGAUAGGGUGUUAUGUACACCAUGCUUGUUGAUAUAUUUUGUUCGUAUUUCUAUUUCUUAUUUAUCUUUUAUUUCUGUUUGUUUCUGUUUCUAUUUUAUUAUCUUGUAUCUCGUUAGUUUUUAGUUAUUAGAGUGUGAGUGUCUGGGAUAAAUAAAGGAUUCUGAUUAUACAUACAUACAU